UUUGCCCUACGGGAGGCAGCAGUGGGGAAUAUUGGACAAUGGGGGGAACCCUGAUCCAGCGACGCCGCGUGAGUGAAGAAGUAUUUCGGUAUGUAAAGCUCUAUCAGCAGGGAAGAAAGAAAUGACGGUACCUGACUAAGAAGCCCCGGCUAACUACGUGCCAGCAGCCGCGGUAAUACGUAGGGGGCAAGCGUUAUCCGGAUUUACUGGGUGUAAAUGGAGCGUAGACGGAUAUGCAAGUCUGUAGUGAAAGGCGGGGGCCCAACCCCCGGACUGCUCUGGAAACUGUAGAGCU
RNAcentral lists this ribosomal RNA (295 nucleotides) under uncultured bacterium. RNAcentral describes it as "partial 16S ribosomal RNA". It matches the Rfam family "Bacterial small subunit ribosomal RNA", at positions 333 to 642 of the family's 1533-position model. The record is from RNAcentral.